RNAcentral lists this transfer RNA (77 nucleotides) under Laurencieae sp. RNAcentral's name for it is "tRNA-Trp". It matches the Rfam family "tRNA". Rfam says of the family: Transfer RNA (tRNA) molecules are approximately 80 nucleotides in length. Their secondary structure includes four short double-helical elements and three loops (D, anti-codon, and T loops). Further hydrogen bonds mediate the characteristic L-shaped molecular structure. tRNAs have two regions of fundamental functional importance: the anti-codon, which is responsible for specific mRNA codon recognition, and the 3' end, to which the tRNAs corresponding amino acid is attached (by aminoacyl-tRNA synthetases). tRNAs cope with the degeneracy of the genetic code in two manners: having more than one tRNA (with a specific anti-codon) for a particular amino acid; and 'wobble' base-pairing, i.e. permitting non-standard base-pairing at the 3rd anti-codon position. Lineage: Eukaryota; Rhodophyta; Florideophyceae; Ceramiales; Rhodomelaceae. The record is from RNAcentral.
UACGCCUUUAGUUCAGUUGGCAGAACGUAGGUUUCCAAAACCUAAUGUCGAGGGUUCAAGUCCUUCAGGGCGUGUCC